AUUUGGUUGAUGCAAAAGUAAUUGCAGUUUUUAUUAUUACCUUUGUAGCAAAAACUGCAGUUACUUUUGCACCAAU
RNAcentral lists this microRNA precursor (76 nucleotides) under Cebus imitator (Panamanian white-faced capuchin). RNAcentral's name for it is "miRNA (ENSCCAG00000002257.1)". The record is from RNAcentral. Lineage: Eukaryota; Metazoa; Chordata; Mammalia; Primates; Cebidae.